AAUGAGUUUAAUAUGUAUUAAUAUGGUAAAAUAAAUUAAUAUUUUUUUAGAAAAAGUUGUUGUCAAAUGGCUCUAUGAAAGAUUAACUUCUUAAAUGAAAAGUCGUUCCCAAAUGGCUUUAUCAAAGAUUAAAUAGUCGAGUUGUAUUAGGAGAAGCCAACUACUCAAGAUUUUUUAGGCACACCUCGCAACACAUGGGGAGGUGUUCUCGCAAGUUCCUGUGGGUCCCAGAUGUGUGCAAGAGUUUCACUAUGUUCCCCUAAGUUAUUAGAGACUAGGCUCGGGCGACUGUUUACUAAAAACACAUGUCUCUUCAAAGUCGUAAGACCAUGAUGGGGGAUGAUGCCCGCCCAUUGCCGGAAGGUCAAGGAAGUUGGUGAUUUGAUGACAGGGGUGCUGUCGGCCGAAGCCUCGGUGAACGGCGGUCAUAACUAUAACUGUCCUAAGGCAGCAAAAUUCCUUGUCGGGUAAGUUCUGAUCCAGUACGAAAGGCGUAACUAUCUGGGCUCC
Molecule: long non-coding RNA, 510 nt
Filed under: Helianthus annuus (common sunflower)
Lineage: Eukaryota; Viridiplantae; Streptophyta; Magnoliopsida; Asterales; Asteraceae
Rfam family: Bacterial large subunit ribosomal RNA (bases 272-507)
Source: RNAcentral